AUGUCCUCUUUCUUUUUUUCAGAGAUCACCCAGAAAAUGAGUGAAAUCUCUUCAGUUAUGCCACUUCAGAAGGAGGAGCUUAAAUUCCCCCCAUCAAAAUCGCUGAGCCAUAGCAAAGCAACCCUGGAGACUUCCAUUCUAACAAUGCCAGUAUUCCAAAAGAAGUUUCUUAUGCCUUGUUCUUGUGAGCAGAACCAUUUUCUUCUUUGAUUAAACUGAGAAGAAACUUCCUUUCAUCAAUUAUUCUUUUGCUACUCUUUGUAGGUUCAUCACCAGCCUCUACCAGUAGUAAUAAUCACAACAUUCAAUCUGUGCCCGAGUGGAAAGUCUCAGUGCUUAAGGUUACCAUGUCAUUGCCGGCAGUCUAAAGGCAUGCUCAUUGGCGAGCUGGACACGCACCCUGAGAGGCGAGAUGUUUCCACCUCAUUAUGUUGAACAGCAGGAAUUCUAAAUUCUGUCAGAAAAUAGGUCAAUGUUGGGGGGCACAGAAGGGCCCUACAAAUGAAACCAUCUGGCUGGUGAUAAAGAAAAAUGGCUGUACUAUCACUGAAGGUACAGCACUGUGUAUGAAAAGUGGGUAAUUAAUCAUUUUUGCACACUGGCAUUUCUAUAUGAUGAAAUAUCUACCAGCGAUGAGAUUUUACAUUUUAUUUUAUAAUUUACAUUGAGUAAAAAUUAAUUUUUUUUAAAUUAAUUUUUAAAAAAGAUUUUAUGUGUUUACUUGAGAGAGAACAGGAGAGUGAGAGAUAGCAAGAGCACAGAGGGAGAGGGAGAAGCAGACUCCUUGCUCAGCAGGGAGCCUGAUGUGAGGCUCAAUACCAGGCUCUGGAAUCAUGAACUGAGCUGAAGGCAGACGCUUAACUGAUUGAGCCACCCAGGGGCCCGUAUAAAAUUUACAUCAGGGUAUAAGUCUGUGAGUUCUAACAAAUGCAGGUAACUCUCACCAUAAUCAACUACAAGCAAAGUAGAGGAAAGUUGUCUCACCUCCAAACAUUCCUUUGUGCUCCCCAUUUGUAAAUAUCCCCCACUUUCUAACCCACAAGCAACCAACCACUCAUUUAUUCUCCAUCACUAUGUUUUGGGCUUUCCUAGAAUUGCACAUAAAUGGAGUAAUGCGGCUUUGAAUGCUGGCUGCUUUCAUUUAGGAAGAGUUAGCAAUGAUUUUUAAAGUUUUUCACACAAUAAAAUAAUUCCUAGACUUUUGAGAACUAAUUUUUCCCCUGUUUGACAACUUGGGCAGGAGUGAACUAAGCCAAGAAAGAAAGAGAGGUGGGGAGAACUUUCCUAGCUUUAGUCCUUUGCCCACGUUGUCCCCUCUCAGGGCUAAAAGUGAGCAUACCUCAUCAUACUGUUGAGGGAACUGUGGCCCAGCAUGGAAGGGUUAUGGCAAAGUCAGGGCAAGAAUUCAAUAUUGAAUAUCAAUAUUCAAUAUUCAAUUCAAUAUUGAAUUCAGUAUUCAAACUCCAAGUGCAAUUCUCCUUUGAUUGUACUUCUAGCUGCACAACAAUGCAAAGCUUCUCCUAAAAUGAAAACUAAAUAUAAGACCUGCUAUAAAGAUUUCUUCUGUAGGCUUCCACUUAAAUUUUAACUUCAAAUGCAAAUAAAUCAUCAUCAAGGCAAAGUAAGCCAAACCCUAAUAUGAUUCAUCUUUAAUACAGAGUAUGCUUACUUUAUGUUUUAGUCCAUUUGAGUUGCUCUAACACAAUAUUAUCAUCUGGUAGCUUAUAAACACCAGAGUUGUUCUAGAGUCUGGGAAGUCGAAGACCAUGGUGCUGGCAGAUUCAGAGUCUGGUGAGAGCUGGCUUCCUGGUUCAUAGAUGGCUGUGUCCUCACAGGGCAGAAAGGGUGAAGGAGCUCUUUGGAGUCUCUUUUAUAAGGACAGUCAUCCAUUCAUGAGGACACAGUCCUCCCAAAGCCCCACUACCCUAUAGUCAUUUCAUUGGGAGUUAGUAUUUAACCUAUGAAUUUUAUGGGGACAUAAGCAUUCAGUUUAUUGCACUUCAUAUUAUAUAUCACAUAAGGAAGGGAACUGUUACAGAGUUUUCUUAAACAUUUAAGAAAAACAAAGAUUGUGAUUUGAGCAAAAAGUGCAAGUACCCAACCUCUCUCUUUCUCUCCCUCUCCAUCUUGCUAUCUGCUGCCACUUACACGCUGAUGUAGAUAAUAAGAUACCAAUCCUAGCUUUGAUAUUGUAUUAAAACCUCAAAAGAGUUUGACCUUAAAAUAGAGCAUGAUUUUACGGUGACAUGUGUUUGGAUGUGAAUGAGCAGAUUUAUGGGGUUUUUGUUGUUGUUUUUUCAUGGAACUCUUUGGCUUCUUAACUGAGCCAGAUCUGGGAGUCAGGAAACUUAUGUUUCACUUCCAGUUACUCUGAAUUUCUGUCCCUCUGCCAAAGAUGUCAAUCAUGACGCUACAGACUAUAUUCCAAGUGAAAUCAUCUUUUCCAACUCCCAUGAAAGAGCCAGCCCCCUACAAAGACCAUGGGGACUCCAAGUCAAGUUGAUUGCACCAGAAAUGGACUCCUGACACAAGGGUCAACAGUUCACAGGAUGGAUAGCAAACAAGAUGGGGCCUGGUUCAAAAUAAUGAGCAAAACUGGUUAAAUAUCUUCUCUCAAUAAUUCAAAUUGAAAUGAGCACU
This 2640-nucleotide long non-coding RNA is filed under the name Canis lupus familiaris (dog). RNAcentral describes it as "lncRNA (ENSCAFG00030018510.1)". The record is from RNAcentral. Lineage: Eukaryota; Metazoa; Chordata; Mammalia; Carnivora; Canidae.